AUUCUUGGUCAUUUAGAGGAAGUAAAAGUCGUAACAAGGUCUCCGUAGGUGAACCUGCGGAGGGAUCAUUACACAAAUAUGAAGGCGGGCUGGAACCUCUCGGGGUUACAGCCUUGCUGAAUUAUUCACCCUUGUCUUUUGCGUACUUCUUGUUUCCUUGGUGGGUUCGCCCACCACUAGGACAAACAUAAACCUUUUGUAAUUGCAAUCAGCGUCAGUAACAAAUUAAUAAUUACAACUUUCAACAACGGAUCUCUUGGUUCUGGCAUCGAUGAAGAACGCAGCGAAAUGCGAUAAGUAGUGUGAAUUGCAGAAUUCAGUGAAUCAUCGAAUCUUUGAACGCACAUUGCGCCCUUUGGUAUUCCAAAGGGCAUGCCUGUUCGAGCGUCAUUUGUACCCUCAAGCUUUGCUUGGUGUUGGGCGUCUUGUCUCUAGCUUUGCUGGAGACUCGCCUUAAAGUAAUUGGCAGCCGGCCUACUGGUUUCGGAGCGCAGCACAAGUCGCACUCUCUAUCAGCAAAGGUCUAGCAUCCAUUAAGCCUUUUUUUCAACUUUUGACCUCGGAUCAGGUAGGGAUACCCGCUGAACUUAAGCAUAUCAAUAAGCGGAGG
RNAcentral lists this ribosomal RNA (610 nucleotides) under uncultured Alternaria. RNAcentral's name for it is "eukaryotic LSU rRNA". The stretch from base 237 to 390 matches the Rfam family "5.8S ribosomal RNA". Lineage: Eukaryota; Fungi; Ascomycota; Dothideomycetes; Pleosporales; Pleosporaceae. The record is from RNAcentral.